This is a long non-coding RNA of Helianthus annuus (common sunflower), 393 nucleotides long. RefSeq lists it as uncharacterized. The record is from RefSeq and is a predicted model, not a curated record. The transcript is spliced from 3 exons. Lineage: Eukaryota; Viridiplantae; Streptophyta; Magnoliopsida; Asterales; Asteraceae.
GUUCUCUUGAGAAAUCAAUCUAGGAAGAGGAAGAGGAUAAAUUCGAAAGUUUGCAUGUAUAAUCCAUGAGUUUCAAAGUGUUCAUCACCUUCAAAUCAUCGUUAUAGGAUCAUGUCAAGGUGGGGGAAAACAUGGAAGGCUAACGGAAAGGAUACGAGGAAACAUGUAUGAAAUGGGGACUCGAGGUUCCAUGGAUAUUAUUAUCAUCACGAAGAUUUAGCGGGUGAAGAUCGAGAUAAGGAGCUCAGAUUGUACGGAAGGGUAGUCAUGCAAAUAGUAUUCACAUGUUAUUAUUGUCACGCCAAUUAAGUAUGGAUGAUGUAAUUGUCCUUAAGAGUGACGUCUUACAUGCUUUUUAAGUAUGCUAAGUUGUUUUUAAGAAGGGAAUUUUAU